GUGCCAAACAGAAAUCCACUUGCUUUCUAUUUAUUUCUUUAGCUAUGAAUUGUUGUCUUGUAAUUAUGAAUUAAUACAUACAACAAUGAAAACAUAUAUAAAACAGUGAACAGAUCAUUAUAUCAACUUUUUGUAAAGUAUCAUAAAAUGCCUAAUCACUCGUGUAUUAAGAAUGCAAUUUUUUUAAAGUAUUCUUUUACUUAUAUGUGGGUAAAAUUGAUGUAGACACAAUUGAUGAGAUAUAUCAGUAUUGUUCAUGUUUUAAUUCAACAAGAUUCUAUAUUUACAUUAAACAUAAUGGAAUCUUGAUGUUAAGUUAACAAGGAUGACUUAUUGUUUGUAGAUUUUAACCUCAAUGAGAUAAUGAUUAAAUCUAUAUAUGUAAGUUUAUAACUGAACAAGUGCUAUUAAUUGAAUUUUGACAAAGGGUUUAAACUUGUCAUGUUCAAGUAGGAAAUAUUGAUGAUAACUUUGAAUUCUUUGAUAUUAGUGAUAGGUUUAAACCUCCAAUAGCUAAUUAUGCAUUUUAUGUUAUGUUUAAACUAACCAUGUACUAUAAGGAAUCUUGAUAUCAGGGUUAAACUUGUCAUGUACAAGGAUAAAACUCCAAGAGCUAAUGAUGAAAUGUUUUCGUUAGCUUAAACUCACCAAGUACUAUUAUGGUAUCUUUGCAUCAGGUGUAAACUCGUCAUGUACAAAGAUGAACUAUUGAUGUUCACUAUUAUAUCUUAGAUGAAUGUAGGUAUAAACCUUUUAGAGUAAAUAAUGAAAUAUGUUCUAUAAAUUUAAACUCUAUCAUUUUGAUUGCAUAGGUUUAAACUGGGCUAGUUAUAUGAUGAAACUUUGAUAGUAGGUUUCAACUCACUAUGUACUAUUAAUGUUAAUGAUUUUCAUCCUUACUUCAGUAUCUGUCAUAUAUACACUACUUUUCAAUGCAAUACUUAAACUAAGUCAGGUUUUUUUGUGCAAUACAACAAGUCACAUGGCUACACGUUUUAUGUCAGAUUAAUCAAUUUAUUUGUCAGAUUUUGUUAGUUAUAUUAUUUUUAGUUUUGAUAUCUAAUUU
RNAcentral lists this long non-coding RNA (1066 nucleotides) under Mytilus galloprovincialis (Mediterranean mussel). The record is from RNAcentral. Lineage: Eukaryota; Metazoa; Mollusca; Bivalvia; Mytilida; Mytilidae.